This 440-nucleotide ribosomal RNA is filed under the name uncultured bacterium. RNAcentral's name for it is "partial 16S ribosomal RNA". It matches the Rfam family "Bacterial small subunit ribosomal RNA", at positions 338 to 795 of the family's 1533-position model. The record is from RNAcentral.
CCUACGGGUGGCUGCUGUAGGGAAUUUUGCGCAAUGGGCGAAAGCCUGACGCAGCAACGCCGCGUGAGCGAGACGCCCUUCGGGUUGUAAAGAUCUGUCAGUGGGGACGAAACUUGACGGUACCCACAGAGGAAGCACCGGCUCACUCCGUGCCAGCAGCCGCGGUAAUACGGGGGGUGCAAGCGUUGUCCGGAAUCAUUGGGCGUAAAGAGUACGUAGGCGGCACGGAAAGUCUGGUGUUAAAGGCAGAGGCUCAACUUCUGUACGGCAGUGGAUACUUGCGGGCUAGAAUGCGGUAGAGGUAAAGGGAAUGCCUGGUGUAGCGGUGAAAUGCUUAGAUAUCAGGAGGAACAUCGGUGGCGUAAGCGCUUUACUGGGCCGUAAUUGACGCUGAGGUACGAAAGCCAGGGUAGCAAAUGGGAUUAGAUACCCUUGUAGUC